This 85-nucleotide transfer RNA is filed under the name Candidatus Vidania fulgoroideorum. Its description in RNAcentral is "tRNA-Tyr". It matches the Rfam family "tRNA". Rfam says of the family: Transfer RNA (tRNA) molecules are approximately 80 nucleotides in length. Lineage: Bacteria; Pseudomonadati; Pseudomonadota; Betaproteobacteria. The record is from RNAcentral.
GAAGAAAUGCCUGAGUGGUUAAAAGGGAUAGACUGUAAAUCUAUUAAUAGUAAUAUUUUCGUUGGUUCGAAACCAACUUUCUUCA